AAGAUGCACAAGCAACCACUCAAGCCUCAAACCUGUAUCUGCAGCUAUAUCCAGGGACAUAAAUGUGAACCGAUACAGCCACUGAUUUAACUUAGGGCACUGUCAAAGCCGAGGUCAAUGUAUGGGGGUGGGGGGAGGAAGAAAAGCCCCCUGACAGAGACUUCCUCCCAUUUUUGGCACUGUACUAGGUUUUUACUUAUUUAGUUAGUUAUUUAGUUAUUUUAUCCCUGGCAAAAAGGAAUCCCCUUAACAUGGAGGAGAUAGAAACAAUGACCACUGAAAUGAUACUCUAUUUCUGGCCCCUGGGGAAAAUUUGUUUUUUGUUUUUUGUUUUUUAUUUAUUUUGAGGGGAUGAAGAUAGUCUGAACUUUAGGCAAUGCGGUAAUUUACUGGAGAGAAGGGUCACAAGACUCUGGGGCCCAAGCAAUUGGUGGGAAAUAGAUCUCAAAGCAGAAAAUGCAAAGUCGAUAUGGGGGAAGAUUUUUAAAUAAGUGAGUCAGAGGGACUGAGAGGAGAUGAGGCAAUCAAUCUUACCCCCUGACAGCUCCCUCCGAUGGCAUCAAAGAAUUUGGCUCUUUGGUAAAGCAGAGGGAACAGCCGAAAUUUCACAUCCCUUUAAAAGGUCUGGGGGUGGGGGUGUUAGCAAAAGAGAAAGGUGAUUCUGGGAGAGCAGGGAAACAGAUGGGAAAUGGGGACAGAGGGAAGGGUGCUGAGUUGGGUGGAAAGUUUGUCUGGAGAACUCCCACGCUCUGGCCUCCCCUCCCCCUCCUGGCUCUGCAGCCCAGCAAGGCAGAGAAGGCUGGUUAGCAAAGAAAUGGCAACUCAGCCUGGAGCUGGAACUAGAAACUUUCUGUCAGUGUAACAGCCGCGUGGGUGGUGACCCAAUGGUGGUUGGGCUUCGGGUCACGUGACUUCUUUGUAGCUCCGGAAGAGAACUGUGAAGUUUAGGUUGCAUGAAAGCAGCAAGGAGAAUUGAGAGGGAGAAAAAAACCUAGAUUUGGGGGAAUUAUCCGUUGAAAUGAAAGGCAGAUGGAAGGGCUGGGAACUUUAAAAAGCAACCUCUCGGGCCAGAAGGAAGGAAAGGAGCUCCAGCCCCGUUCUUCCCAGGUGUGUUAAUUUGGGCGCUUCUUGGAUUCUACCCUGAGGAGGCGCGUGGUGAGAGGAGAGAUCUUGAUCUGCCGCUCGCUGAGGUUCAGCAGGUUGGCCAUCUCCACGCGGCGCGGCCGGCACAGGUAGCGGUUGAAGUGGAACUCCUUCUCCAGCUCCACCAGCUGCGCGCUAGUGUACGCUGUCCGCGCCCGCU
Manis pentadactyla (Chinese pangolin) is the source of this 1303-nucleotide long non-coding RNA. RefSeq lists it as uncharacterized. Lineage: Eukaryota; Metazoa; Chordata; Mammalia; Pholidota; Manidae. The record is from RefSeq and is a predicted model, not a curated record. The transcript has 6 exons.